RNAcentral lists this ribosomal RNA (451 nucleotides) under uncultured bacterium. Its description in RNAcentral is "partial 16S ribosomal RNA". It matches the Rfam family "Bacterial small subunit ribosomal RNA", at positions 29 to 523 of the family's 1533-position model. The record is from RNAcentral.
AACGAACGCUGGCGGCAGGCCUAACACAUGCAAGUCGAACGGGUGUAGCAAUACAUCAGUGGCGCACGGGAGAGUAACGCGUGGGAACCUACCUUUUGGUUCGGAAUAACUCAGGGAAACUUGUGCUAAUACCGAAUGUGCCCUUCGGGGGAAAGAUUUAUCGCCUUUAGAGCGGCCCGCGUCUGAUUAGCUAGUUGGUGAGGUAAAGGCUCACCAAGGCGACGAUCAGUAGCUGGUCUGAGAGGAUGAUCAGCCACAUUGGGACUGAGACACGGCCCAAACUCCUACGGGAGGCAGCAGUGGGGAAUCUUGCGCAAUGGGCGAAGGCCUGACGCAGCCAUGCCGCGUGAAUGAUGAAGGUCUUAGGAUUGUAAAAUUCUUUCACCGGGGACGAUAAUGACGGUACCCGGAGAAGAAGCCCCGGCUAACUUCGUGCCAGCCGCCGCCGUAA